RNAcentral lists this ribosomal RNA (375 nucleotides) under uncultured bacterium. Its description in RNAcentral is "partial 16S ribosomal RNA". It matches the Rfam family "Bacterial small subunit ribosomal RNA", at positions 338 to 710 of the family's 1533-position model. The record is from RNAcentral.
CCUACGGGGGGCAGCAGUGAGGAAUAUUGGUCAAUGGGCGGAAGCCUGAACCAGCCAAGUCGCGUGAGGGAGUAAGGCCCUACGGGUCGUAAACCUCUUUUGCCGGGGAGCAGUGCCCAGCUCGUGAGCUGGGAUGGAGCGUACCCGGAGAAAAAGCAUCGGCUAAAUCCGUGCCAGCAGCCGCGGUGAUACGGGGGAUGCGAGCGUUAUCCGGAUUUAUUGGGUUUAAAGGGUGCGUAGGCGGGCCUUCAGGCCGGCGGUAAAAUUGCGGGGAUAAACCCCGCGGAGCCGUCGGAACCGGGAGACUUGAGUACCGGAGAGGUACGCGGAAUGCGUGGUGUAGCGGUGAAAUGCAUAGAUAUCACGCAGAACCCC